ACGUCUACAUUAGAUACCCCGGUAGUCCUAGGCGUAAAUGAUGCGAGUUAAGUNUGGGGGCAUCUACGAGAUGGCCCUGUGCUGUAGGGUAGCCGUUAAACCCGCUGCCUGGGGAGUACGGUCGCAAGGCUGAAACUUAAAGGAAUUGGCGGGGAGCACCACAAGAGGUGGAGGCUGCGGUUCAAUUGGACUCAACGCCGGAAAACUCAUCGGGAGCGACAGCAGUAUGAUUGCCAGGUUGAUGACCUUGCUUGACAAGCUG
This 262-nucleotide ribosomal RNA is filed under the name uncultured archaeon. RNAcentral's name for it is "partial 16S ribosomal RNA". It matches the Rfam family "Archaeal small subunit ribosomal RNA", at positions 717 to 982 of the family's 1478-position model. The record is from RNAcentral.